AAAUAAACCACCUUACAACAGCGCCUGCCUCUCGAGUGUUGGCUUUCGUAGUGGCAGGCAGUUGGACCUGCCUUUGGUUACAUUUCUUUGCAAAAUUAUUUUAGCUAUUCUGGUUUUUGCUAUUUUAUGUAAACCUUACAAUAAUCUUGUCUCUAUCUAAAAAAACUUGCUGAGAUUUUGGUAGGAACUAUGUUAACCUGUAUAUUAUUAGUUUGGAGAGAACUGACAUUUUUAUGGUGUUGAGUCUUUCAAUCCAUGAGUAUGCUAUGUCUCUUCAUUUACUUAAAUUCUUCUUGUUUUUAUCAAUAUUUAAGCAUGUCGUUUUGCUGAGAGUCGCAGAACCUACGGAUGACAGUAUGUGAUGACUGAUGGUAAAUGUGCAGCAGAUUCAGAGCAGAGGAGACCCACAGUGACCCGGCCAGAGGUGGCCCUGAGACUGACCUCUGGGAAUGAGUGGACCUUCGGUACACAGGAGAGAAAGUUGGAGAGAGAAGCGGAGAAAUCCAAAGGACCUGAAACUCCAGUUUCCAAUAAGGACGACGCUAAGUCAGUCAUCAGCAGGACGCAGCUAGCUUUUGCUUGUGGAGCUGGAUUAUCUCCGCUCUGCGGAUUAUCUCAUGCAAAGGCUUCCUCCCGGGCUUCCUCCUCUCCCCAUCCGGGUGGGCGUUCCUGUUCCUUUUCCUGCUGUCCUGUUCAAACCGCCAUCACUGUUAGCUAAGGAAAAACAUAAUUAAGGAGGGCAAUCUGUUGUCCCUAAAUAGUAUCAUCUAUUCCAAACUAAAUAUGAGUGACAUUUGCAUUAUCUUUUGUUUAUAGCUGUCCAUACCACUUCUCCUCUCCUGAGGGUGAAUACGGCUCACCCGUGUGAGCAUCGCAGACACAUCACCUAUUUAAGCUGCCUCUCUGAAGGUUAGCUGCAGUCCUGGGAGCCAGGAGUAAGGCCACAGGGAUCAUGGCCCCAUGACAUCUGAUUCAUUGGACCGUUCCCGAUUUUCCUGUGUUUACAGUAACGUAAAGUAAUAAUGUGAUGGUGGUCUCAUCUGCAACAUUAGUCCUGGCACAUUACCCACGGGUCGGUCUGGGAUUGUCUUUCUACGGGGUUGGUGGAGAGAUGUGUGGAUCUGGGACCUCUGUCCCACUCUGUCCCGCUGGUGGCCAGAGGCUCGUCUUUGAGGCAGACAGCCGGGGUGCAGGGUAGAAUCUGAGGCCACCAGGAGGAGUGAAAUGAACUGCCCCCUUCACGUGGGGAUGGGACCGCUGGCCCAUACCUCACUAGCAUGGCACUCCAACCCUCCAAUGCAGUGAUCCCCGGCCUCGGUUUCAUAUCACCCCAGGGUGUUCCCACGUAUCUCCAGAGGGAGCUGCGGAACUCCCCCUACAGCAUUAACUUUAGUUCAUUUUAAUUUAAACGUUCAAUAGGGGCUAUGCAGGCAGUCCUUUGUGGGAGUGGAAGUCAAAAAAUCUAGCUCUCCACAGUGUACGGCUCCCUAAACCCAUGGAAACGACCUCCUGACCCACUGAGCCCAACAGCAUGGGGAGGAAGGAGCCUGCACGUAAGCAGCAGGUGCGGACCGUGUCUAGAUGACAUGGAGAGCUGCCUGGCCCUGCUGGACACCCGCAUCUCACGGGUACUGUUUUCCUGUGGUUGGCUGCGGGCACACUUGGACUGGCUGGGCCUGAUGGGCACAGUCGGCUCCAGUCCAGCCAGCCCCUCCCUCUUCCUUCCUAGAGACUGGGACGCUUUGCUCAGGAACAAUUUGUGAUUGGUAAAGAUAAUGAAUCAGGCCUCGUGGCUGGGGCUUUUUCCUGGGUCAGUACACAAGGUCUGUCUCAUCUGUGGAGGCUCGGGGAGCACGCGGUUCAGGGGUCCCAGGGCACUUCGGCCACUGGCUUCUCUGGGGGGCGAGCGGGGUCUCAGCAGGAUCUUGGCAGGGCGGCCGCUGGCCUGCGUGCAACACUGGGGAAGGGAGAGCAGAAAUCAGUUAGUUGAUGAGCACCCUCCAAACCUGGCAUUGUGGUUGACUGCUCGGGGCUCUGCACGAUCAUUCAAGGAAAAUAAGUAUAGUUUCUCACACUGACUGUGCUUGAUAAUUAAAAAAGACUUUCACAUCC
Phyllostomus discolor (pale spear-nosed bat) is the source of this 2112-nucleotide long non-coding RNA. RefSeq lists it as uncharacterized. The record is from RefSeq and is a predicted model, not a curated record. The transcript is spliced from 2 exons. NCBI's taxonomy places the organism in Eukaryota, Metazoa, Chordata, Mammalia, Chiroptera, Phyllostomidae.